GACAAUUUAGAUAGUUUCAUGAGAUUUAAAAUGUUGAUUUUGGGUUAGUGGUGGGGUUUAUUUAGGUUUGGAACCUUUAUUUUCCAUUUCAAUACUUCUUUCAUACUGAAAUAAGCCAAAAUAGGGACCUGAGGGUUAAAUUAUUGAAUAUGAGCUCUACUGAAAAAUCCAACAUUGUUGUAGAGUUUGAAACAUCAAACUAGCCUAUUACAAAAUAUUUUUUAUUUUUAUGGGUCCCAAAUGAAUCUCGUUGGUCCAUUCAAAAGAAUUGAAAAAAAUCGGCAAAGUUGUUGAUAUCUGGUGCAUGAGGCUACUUCUUUAGAAAUACAGGCCCCGAACUAUGAACGGAGAGAAGGAAAAAUAUCCUUCAUCACAAACGCAAGGGAGAUGUCCACCAUUUGAAAGAGUUCUUAAGAUCGGGUUUGGUAUUUUACUCCAUCCGGAACGCGAUGUGUCUAGGUCAUCAUGCUUCAUAAAUGCAAGAGUCACGAAGGCCAAUUUUAUCGCAUGGUCGCCUGUCGACCUCCAGGAAUGUAAAAAAUUUACAUCAUUCAUGAGGUACUAUUCUCAAAAUAGUAUAAAGCCUCCAUUUUUGGGAUUUUCACCCUUUUUGGACCUUGAAGAUUCAGGAAGAGGAAAUUUCUAGGAUUUUAUGGAUGUGUGAGCAUAUGCUAACACAUUUGAGGCUUUUAACUCUAAAUAAUUGCAAGGUCUUGAGAAAAUUUUGUUAUUUUUAAUUAGUUUAUAUUUGAUUUUGUAGUUUAAGUUGAUAUGAUAGAGGACCAACAUGAAAUAAAGCAAAGAAGAUGAAAUUUAAAGAAAUCGGAAGAUAAAUGUGGCUGACGACAUUUGUGAUAAGUCAUCAGCCCUGUGAUAAGCUAUCAGGUUGGUCGUCAUCAGUAGACAGAGAAUUGUCCUAAAGUAGAAGUUAUGGCAUUAUUUUAUGAUAAGCCAUCAGGGGGUCUGAUAAGUUAUCAAGUUUGUCGUCAGCCUUAAAUUGAGAAUGAAUUCUAGCUGGUAGAAUUGACGAAAUUUUGUGAUAGGCCAUCAUAAUGGUGAUAAUUCAUCAGGAAUGACUUAGGCAUGACAUGAGAAUUGGAGAAAAAGUGUGACGACAUUUUUGAUAAUUCAUCAUCGUCCUGAUAUGCCAUCAGAUGUUGUUGUCAACCAAAGACAGUACUAGUGCUGAUUUGAAGAAGGCCUGAUGACAUUCUUGAGAAGUCCUCAGGAUCCUUAUAAGGCAUCACCAAUAGUCGUCGUCUAUUCCGAGAAAAAGUUGUAAGCUUGAUUUUAUUACUUUAUUUAGGGUAAACUAUUUAAAACUUUGUUUUAGGGUUUUCUAGGAAUUAUUGUGAUCAUUAUUAUUGUUGUUAUCAUUAUUAUUCCAGACAAGGUCGACACCUUGAGUUUGGGACAACAUAUUUUGAUAUUUUCACUAUUUACUUCUUGACUUUAACAGCACAACUAUUUUUUGAGACAUUAUUAUAAGUAUUUUGGGAUUUGUCCUUUG
RNAcentral lists this long non-coding RNA (1510 nucleotides) under Capsicum annuum. RNAcentral describes it as "long non-coding RNA (CANN_LNC009993)". The record is from RNAcentral. Lineage: Eukaryota; Viridiplantae; Streptophyta; Magnoliopsida; Solanales; Solanaceae.